Molecule: ribosomal RNA, 253 nt
Filed under: uncultured bacterium
Lineage: Bacteria
Description: partial 16S ribosomal RNA
Rfam family: Bacterial small subunit ribosomal RNA
Source: RNAcentral
UACGUAGGGGGCAAGCGUUGUCCGGAUUUAUUAGGCGUAAAGAGCGUGUAGGCGGCUUUACAGGUCCGUUGUGAAAACUCGAGGCUCAACCUCGAGACGCCGGUGGAAACCGUAAAGCUAGAGUCCGGAAGAGGAGAGUGGAAUUCCUGGUGUAGCGGUGAAAUGCGCAGAUAUCAGGAGGAACACCGGUGGCGAAGGCGGGUCUCUGGGCCGAAAUUGACGCUGAGGAGCGAAAGCGUGGGGAGCGAACAGG